AGAAUCCCGCCCCGGAAGGUAAGCCAGCCACCGGGUAGCGAGUCUUUGGAGGGAGGGUGGUAACAUCUUUCUUUAAGCGUAAGAUAGCAAGCAGGCAGGCCGUAAGCCGAUUGGUUGAAGGGAUUGAGCCCCGAAAGUGACGCGUUGGGAAGGACGACACUGUUGUAGAAGUGGAAGUCAACAUGGGACG
Non-coding RNA from Nitrospirae bacterium CG2_30_53_67, 190 nucleotides. NCBI's taxonomy places the organism in Bacteria, Pseudomonadati, Nitrospirota. The record is from Rfam.